Tripterygium wilfordii is the source of this 1380-nucleotide RNA transcript. RefSeq lists it as uncharacterized. The record is from RefSeq and is a predicted model, not a curated record. NCBI's taxonomy places the organism in Eukaryota, Viridiplantae, Streptophyta, Magnoliopsida, Celastrales, Celastraceae. The transcript is spliced from 3 exons.
CUACUAGUACUACGACGAACAAUAAUCUUGACUGAGAAUCGAGACUGAAUUUCAAAGCUAGGAGCAUGUAGAAUCUAUGAAGGAAAGACAAAAAAUGGGGAAAUUGUGGAAGAUAGCAGCAGUCGUGGCAGUUGCGGCGGCAGGGAGGGAACUGAGCAAGCGAUAUGGAUUAGAGAAAGACGACGCUAUCAAGUUACUUGGAGAAUGGUCGGAUCGGCUUGGUGUUUGGGCGAUCCCGUGCUACGUUGCUAUCCACACCGUCACUCUCGCUCUCUGCCUUCCCUACGCCAUUUUCUUUGAAGCUGCGGCUUCUCUCCUCUUCGGAUUCUUCCCGGCCGUCCUCUGCGUCUUCUCGGCUAAAAUCCUUGGAGCCUCUCUCUCAUUCGGGAUCGGCAGGCUGGUCUUCAAGUGUUCAGGCUCAGCAAGGGAGUGGAUCAAAAGAAACAAAUACUUCCACAUACUUUCAACAGGGGUUGAAAGAGAUGGAUGGAAAUUCGUCCUUCUUGCUCGCUUCUCACCAGUGCCCUCCUACGUCAUAAACUAUGCCCUAUCUGCAACAAAUAUGCGGUUUUUGUUGGAUUUCCUGCUUCCUACAGUAAUUGGCUGCGUGCCGAAGAUUUUACAGAAUACAUCCCUUGGCAGCCUUGCUGGUGCUGCAGUUGCUUCGGCAUCUGGCUCGCAGAAGUCUAAGCUUCAGUCUUACAUAUUUCCCCCGAUUGGGAUUGUAUCAAGCAUUCUUAUUUCCUUAAGAAUUAAACAAUAUUCUACUAGUAUCAUUGUAGCUGAAUCCGUUCCUGGCGAUUCUAGUAACGUUAAGGACUUGUCUCAAACUCAUUCUGGCACAGAGGAAGGCAAGGGAGAUGAGAAAAAACAAUGAGUUCAUCAACAUUCAGACUAUUAGCCUCUCUGUCAUAGGUAAAGUUUUACAGGUUCAUUUAGCAUAACCAAACUAGGAUAGCCCAGCUGAUAAUCGCCAAAGGCGUAUGCUUGAGGGGUUUUUGUGGUGAUCUAUCUAUCUCUAUUCGGUUUCGCGCUGUACCUUGGCCCAACUUAUCUCUCGACAGGUUGUGGCAAGCCUGUUUGGCCCGAGUUUAGGCCCAACUUGACUGUCCAAGAAUAGGCAAGCCUGUUUGUGUCGUUCUCGAUUACCCAAAAAAAAAAAGUUUCUUUAGCAGAUAAUUCAUCACUAGUCUUCUGGUAAAGCUAAGAGUAGUGUGUGUUUUGAUGUCCAUUGUAUCCAUUAAUAGCUUAUUAGCUUUCCUCCCAUUCCUGUGCGUGUAAUAUAUAUGAUUUGAUAGAAAUUUUGUUGUUGAAAGGGCUAUUCCAUACACAAUUAUAGGACAUUCCCAUGUAUGACAAGGUUCUAUAUGCUGUUCUACA